CGUCUCCAUUUUCAACAGGCAAAGCGCCGCGACAGGAGCACCCAGCCGCCCUCGUCAGCAGCCGUGCGGUAACAGCGAGAGCAAUACAUGCGAAGCAGCGAAAUUAAUCUGCACGAAUAAGUGGAUAUUCACGCACUGAUUACAUAAUUUUACUGGACUAUUUAUUCUACUGUUGUUGUUUAUGUUUUCUAUCCACCCGAAGUUUGUUUUUAAUUGCACAAUUCGCAUUUCUAACUGAUUUCCAACUCAAAAUGGAGAAUCAAGAAGGCAAAUAUCUCCCGGAGCUUCUCGCGGAGAAAGACAGUCUGGACGUGUCAUUUACGCACGCGAUGAAACUUUUAUCCGCAGAAAUCGAGAGAAUCCAGAAAGGUGAGCCCAAGAAGGAAGGAGGAGAUGCGUAUUUGGACCUUUUCACCGUCAAGAAUAUCAAACUGAAGGAACGCGUGCUCAUACCCGUCAAACAGUAUCCGAGGUUCAACUUUGUGGGGAAGAUUCUUGGCCCUCAGGGCAACACAAUCAAACGCCUUCAGGAAGAGACUGGGGCCAAGAUCUCUGUACUGGGCAAAGGUUCCAUGAGGGACAAGGCGAAGGAGGAGGGUCUGAGGAAAGGUGGCGAGGCCAAGUACGCACACCUGUCUAUGGAGCUGCAUGUCUUCAUCGAGGUGUUUGCCCCCGUGCCCGAGGCUUACCUACGUAUGGCGCACGCCAUGGAGGAAGUCAAGAAGUUCCUGUUUCCUGACAUGAUGGAUGACAUCUGUCAGGAACAGUUCAUGGAGAUGGGUUAUCUGAACGGGGGCCAGGAGCACGGGCCAGGGGCCCCACGAGGUAGAGGCGGACCACCGGGCCCCAGGGGGCGAGGAGGGCCACCGGGUCAAACAGGGGCAUCCAGGGGUAGAGGUAUGCUCCCACGUGGAGGUGUCACAAGGGGAGGUGCGCCCCGCGGAGGGCCAGCGAGAGUUGGGGUAGUGAGGGGGUCACCGGCAGGAAGAGGGGGACCUCCAGCUGCCCCCGCCCGAGGGGCUGCAACGCCCCGAGCCAGACCCCCUGCCCCUGGGGGACCACCGAGGAUGCCCCCUCCACCCCCCCACCAGCACCAACACGGCCCAGGACCGGAACAAUAUGAGGAAUAUGCUUAUGAUGAGGGCUACACAGAGCCAGCGUACGAGUCAUACGACAAUUACUACAGUCAACCACAGGCAGAGCCAGAAUACUACGACUACGGACAUGGAGAGGUACAGGAGGCAUAUGAACCCUACGCCCAGGAUGACUGGAACGGAGCCCAGAGAGCGGCACCGGCGGGGAAGGCCCCACCUUCCAGAGCGGCUAAGGGCCCUUACCGAGAACACCCCUAUAGACAAUACUGAACUCACCAUGACAGCGCCUAGCGACCAACGCUAACGAGUUGCCCUGACAACCAACCAACCUGUCUACCACGGCAGCUCUCGCUCUAAGCAACCCUCGAAAAAAGUCCAACUAUUAGUCAGUCAUGGACCAAUCAGAGGGUGGCUUACUGGAGAGAGAGAACCAAUCAGAGGUCGGCUUACUGGAGAGAUGAUACCAUACAUACCUCAGUGAGGUGGUGCAGGAGCCGCAGGGCUCUACUUGACAGAGCACUGGAUCGCCGUCAGGCUCCACAGUGAAGAACUGACCCAGUAGAGGGCACCAAUACUGGGGUAGAGCAGUCUGGAAGGAGGGCAGGCUGCCCAGAGGACCAGAGAGCAGAUGUAGCCUACAGAGGAGAGAGAAGGGAGCCUUGGCCCCGCUAGAAAAAGAAGAGGGGUGGUUCUAUGAGGCUCUGUAUUAGAAUCUAGAUGAGGGGAGAAGAUUCUGGAAUGUGAAGCUAUGACACUUUACUGUGAAGCUAUGACACUUUACUGUGAAGCUAUGACACUUUACUGUGAAGCUAUGACACUACUGUGAAGCUAUGACACUUUACUGUGAAGCUAUGACACUUUACUGUGAAGCUAUGACACUUUACUGUGAAGCUAUGACACUUUACUGUGAAGCUAUGACACUUUACUGUGAAGCUAUGACACUUUACUGUGAAGCUAUGACACUUUACUGUGAAGCUAUGACACUUUACUGUGAAGCUAUGACACUACUGUGAAGCUAUGACACUACUGUGAAGCUAUGACACUUUACUGUGAAGCUAUGACACUUUACUGUGAAGCUAUGACACUACUGUGAAGCUAUGACACUACUGUGAAGCUAUGACACUACUGUGAAGCUAUGACACUUUACUGUGAAGCUAUGACACUACUGUGAAGCUAUGACACUACUGUGAAGCUAUGACACUACUGUGAAGCUAUGACACUACUGUGAAGCUAUGACACUUUACUGUGACGCUAUGACACUUUACUGUGAAGCUAUGACACUACUGUGAAGCUAUGACACUACUGUGAAGCUAUGACACUUUACUGUGAAGCUAUGACACUACUGUGAAGCUAUGACACUAUUGUGAAGCUAUGACACUACUGUGAAGCUAUGAGACUUUACUGUGAAGCUAUGACACUACUGUGAAGCUAUGACACUUUACUGUGAAGCUAUGACACUUUACUGUGAAGCUAUGACACUUUACUGUGAAGCUAUGACACUACUGUGAAGCUAUGACACUUUACUGUGAAGCUAUGACACUACUGUGAAGCUAUGACACUACUGUGAAGCUAUGACACUUUACUGUGAAGCUAUGACACUUUACUGUGAAGCUAUGACACUACUGUGAAGCUAUGACACUUACUGUGAAGCUAUGACACUUUACUGUGAAGCUAUGACACUUUACUGUGAAGCUAUGACACUACUGUGAAGCUAUGACACUACUGUGAAGCUAUGACACUUUACUGUGAAGCUAUGACACUUUACUGUGAAGCUAUGACACUUUACUGUGAAGCUAUGACACUACUGUGAAGCUAUGACACUACUGUGAAGCUAUGACACUACUGUGAAGCUAUGACACUUUACUGUGAAGCUAUGACACUACUGUGAAGCUAUGACACUACUGUGAAGCUAUGACACUUUACUGUGAAGCUAUGACACUUUACUGUGAAGCUAUGACACUACUGUGAAGCUAUGACACUUUACUGUGAAGCUAUGACACUACUGUGAAGCUAUGACACUACUGUGAAGCUAUGACACUUUACUGUGAAGCUAUGACACUACUGUGAAGCUAUGACACUACUGUGAAGCUAUGACACUUUACUGUGAAGCUAUGACACUUUACUGUGAAGCUAUGACACUUUACUGUGAAGCUAUGACACUACUGUGAAGCUAUGACACUUUACUGUGAAGCUAUGACACUUUACUGUGAAGCUAUGACACUUUACUGUGAAGCUAUGACACUUUACUGUGAAGCUAUGACACUACUGUGAAGCUAUGACACUUUACUGUGAAGCUAUGACACUACUGUGAAGCUAUGCUUGUGAUGUCUGUUUGACUGGUGUUUUGAUACCGUACUGCUUAUUCACUGCUAGGCACUUUGUUUUUGAUAUGAAUCACUUUUAUAUUGUUUUGUAAUGUGAACAGUUUCCAAGACCUUUUACAGUUUGUAGUAAGUGAAACUUCAUUGUUAUGGAAAUGUACUAUGACAAUGACCACCCAGGCUGUAACCAGCUGUGAAAUUGGUUUAAAUGUCCCUUUAAUUGGUUGUCUUAUUUUCUUUGAAGGGUUGAACACAUUUUUACUUUCUGCAAGGCCCCCCCCCCCCCCCCCAUAAACACAUUAAUUGUUAAUUAUACUCUUUAAC
This is an RNA transcript of Oncorhynchus kisutch (coho salmon), 3739 nucleotides long. It is a transcript of the gene named KH domain-containing, RNA-binding, signal transduction-associated protein 1-like, with no coding region annotated. Lineage: Eukaryota; Metazoa; Chordata; Actinopteri; Salmoniformes; Salmonidae. The transcript has 11 exons. The record is from RefSeq and is a predicted model, not a curated record.